Molecule: ribosomal RNA, 812 nt
Filed under: Glutamicibacter arilaitensis
Lineage: Bacteria; Bacillati; Actinomycetota; Actinomycetes; Micrococcales; Micrococcaceae
Description: bacterial SSU rRNA
Rfam family: Bacterial small subunit ribosomal RNA
Source: RNAcentral
UAUCAGCUUGUUGGUGAGGUAAUGGCUCACCAAGGCGACGACGGGUAGCCGGCCUGAGAGGGUGACCGGCCACACUGGGACGAGACACGGCCCAGACUCCUACGGGAGGCAGCAGUGGGGAAUAUUGCACAAUGGGCGAAAGCCUGAUGCAGCGACGCCGCGUGAGGGAUGACGGCCUUCGGGUUGUAAACCUCUUUCAGUAGGGAAGAAGCGAAAGUGACGGUACCUGCAGAAGAAGCGCCGGCUAACUACGUGCCAGCAGCCGCGGUAAUACGUAGGGCGCAAGCGUUAUCCGGAUUUAUUGGGCGUAAGAGCUCGUAGGCGGUUUGUCGCGUCUGCCGUGAAAGUCCGAGGCUCAACCUCGGAUCUGCGGUGGGUACGGGCAGACUAGAGUGAUGUAGGGGAGACUGGAAUUCCUGGUGUAGCGGUGAAAUGCGCAGAUAUCAGGAGGAACACCGAUGGCGAAGGCAGGUCUCUGGGCAUUUACUGACGCUGAGGAGCGAAAGCAUGGGGAGCGAACAGGAUUAGAUACCCUGGUAGUCCAUGCCGUAAACGUUGGGCACUAGGUGUGGGGGACAUUCCACGUUUUCCGCGCCGUAGCUAACGCAUUAAGUGCCCCGCCUGGGGAGUACGGCCGCAAGGCUAAAACUCAAAGGAAUUGACGGGGGCCCGCACAAGCGGCGGAGCAUGCGGAUUAAUUCGAUGCAACGCGAAGAACCUUACCAAGGCUUGACAUGUGCCAGACCGCCUCAGAGAUGGGGUUUCCCUUCGGGGCUGGUUCACAGGUGGUGCAUGGUUGUCGUCAGCUCGUG